UAUCUCUGUAGAGUCUGCAUAUCAAUAAGCGGAGGAAAAGAAACUAACAAGGAUUCCCCUAGUAACGGCGAGUGAAGCGGGAAGAGCUCAAAUUUGAAAUCUUCAAGGUUUGACCUUGACGAAUUGUAGUUUAAAGAAGUGUUUUCGGUUAGAGGAGUGGUAAAAGUUCUUUGGAAUAGGACAUCAUAGAGGGUGAGAAUCCCGUAUUUGACCAUUCUUUCUAGCUUUGUGAUACACUUUCAAAGAGUCGGAUUGUUUGGGAAUGCAGUCCAAAAUGGGUGGUAAACUUUCAUCUAAAGCUAAAUAUUGGCGAGAGACCGAUAGCGAACAAGUACCGUGAGGGAAAGAUGAAAAGAACUUUGAAAAGAGAGUUAAACAGUACGUGAAAUUGUCAAAAGGGAAGCGUUUGACACCAGUGUUGUUUUUCCGAAAAUCAAUUAAAAAAUGGAUUCAUGCUAAGUUGUAUUGACCUUAUCAGCUUGCAAUUUAGUUUUGGGUUUCUUUUUGAUGCACUUUUCGGUUAACAAGUCAACAUCAAUUUCCUUUGCUGUAAAAAGGCAGGAGGAAGGUGGCUUCAAUUUCGGUUGAAGUGUUUAUAGCCUUCUGUCUCUGCAGUCGGGGAGAUUGAGGUCUGCAGCGUAGAUCCUUCGGGGCUAGAUACAUUCGUGCUAAGUUAUAGCCUUUUAUAGACAACUUGUUGACUAUGAUUGGUCUUGUAAUUUACUCGCGAGUGCUAUUUUACCUACGCUUAGGAUGUUGAUCUACAGAGCGAGAGU
RNAcentral lists this ribosomal RNA (776 nucleotides) under uncultured Neocallimastigales. RNAcentral describes it as "partial large subunit ribosomal RNA". It matches the Rfam family "Eukaryotic large subunit ribosomal RNA", at positions 24 to 640 of the family's 3401-position model. The record is from RNAcentral. Lineage: Eukaryota; Fungi; Neocallimastigomycota; Neocallimastigomycetes; Neocallimastigales.